Molecule: ribosomal RNA, 512 nt
Filed under: uncultured soil bacterium
Lineage: Bacteria
Description: bacterial SSU rRNA
Rfam family: Bacterial small subunit ribosomal RNA
Source: RNAcentral
AGAGUUUGAUCCUGGCUCAGAACGAACGCUGGCGGCGUGGAUAAGACAUGCAAGUCGAACGCCUAUUUCAGGGUAGCAAUAUUCUGGAGUGGGAGUGGCGUAAGGGUGCGUAACAUGUGGGUAAUCUGCCGUGAAGUUUGGGAUAACUUGCUGAAAGGCGAGCUAAUACCGGAUGUGAACGCUAGGAGGCAUCUUCUGGCUUUCAAAGUUGGGGACCGUAAGGCCUGACGCUUCAUGAUGAGCCCGCAACCUAUCAGCUAGUUGGUGAGGUAACGGCUUACCAAGGCUAAGACGGGUAGCUGGUCUGAGAGGACGACCAGCCACACUGGAACUGAGACACGGUCCAGACACCUACGGGUGGCAGCAGCCGAGAAUUUUUCACAAUGGGCGAAAGCCUGAUGGAGCGACGCCGCGUGGGGGAUGAAGGGCUUCGGUCCGUAAACCCCGGUCAUUUGUGAACAAUGCUUACGACCUAAUACGUCGUGAGUUGAUAGAGCGAAAGAGAAAGGACG